AGGACGAACGCUGGCGGCGUGCUUAACACAUGCAAGUCGAGCGGAAAGGCCCUUCGGGGUACUCGAGCGGCGAACGGGUGAGUAACACGUGAGCAACCUGCCCUUAGCUCCGGGAUAGCUCCGGGAAACCGGAAUUAAUACCGGAUACAACCACGGCCGACAUCUGCUGUGGUGGAAAGGAUUCCGGCUAAGGAUGGGCUCGCGGCCUAUCAGCUAGUUGGUGGAGUAACGGCCCACCAAGGCGACGACGGGUAGCCGGCCUGAGAGGGCGACCGGCCACACUGGGACUGAGACACGGCCCAGACUCCUACGGGAGGCAGCAGUGGGGAAUAUUGCGCAAUGGGCGAAAGCCUGACGCAGCGACGCCGCGUGGGGGAUGAAGGCCUUCGGGUUGUAAACCCCUUUCAGCAGGGACGAAGCGAAAGUGACGGUACCUGCAGAAGAAGCGCCGGCUAACUACGUGCCAGCAGCCGC
This 474-nucleotide ribosomal RNA is filed under the name uncultured bacterium. Its description in RNAcentral is "SSU rRNA". It matches the Rfam family "Bacterial small subunit ribosomal RNA", at positions 26 to 518 of the family's 1533-position model. The record is from RNAcentral.